UGCCGAGUGGUGUAACGGUAGCACAGCAGACUCUGGAUCUGUUUGUCAUGGUUCGAAUCCAUGCUCGGCAGCCA
This 74-nucleotide transfer RNA is filed under the name Verrucomicrobia bacterium ADurb.Bin006. Its description in RNAcentral is "tRNA-Gln". It matches the Rfam family "tRNA". From Rfam's summary of the family: Transfer RNA (tRNA) molecules are approximately 80 nucleotides in length. Their secondary structure includes four short double-helical elements and three loops (D, anti-codon, and T loops). The record is from RNAcentral. RNAcentral also lists the same sequence under 3 other names. Lineage: Bacteria; Pseudomonadati; Verrucomicrobiota.